AUCGCUUCUCGGCCUUUUGGCUAAGAUCAAGUGUAGUAUCAGAAUUGUAUAAAUGACACCAAAAUUAGACUUUUUGUUGUUAGAACUCAGCUGUGCUUGAUCUGGGAUCAAUUUUGGAAGUUUAUAUUUUGCUCAAAAAAUAUACAUUUCCUCUAGGU
This 158-nucleotide small nuclear RNA is filed under the name Myotis davidii. Its description in RNAcentral is "U2 spliceosomal RNA". It matches the Rfam family "U2 spliceosomal RNA". Rfam says of the family: U2 is a small nuclear RNA (snRNA) component of the spliceosome (involved in pre-mRNA splicing). Complementary binding between U2 snRNA (in an area lying towards the 5' end but 3' to hairpin I) and the branchpoint sequence (BPS) of the intron results the bulging out of an unpaired adenosine, on the BPS, which initiates a nucleophilic attack at the intronic 5' splice site, thus starting the first of two transesterification reactions that mediate splicing. Lineage: Eukaryota; Metazoa; Chordata; Mammalia; Chiroptera; Vespertilionidae. The record is from Rfam by way of RNAcentral.